UUUUUUUUUUUCACACUUCUCAAUAUUUUACUAAAGUGGAAACAAUUUAAAAAUAUGUUUUCUUUUGUUUGGGAAGACAACUAAUGCAUUCAUUAUUGUGUUUAUUUGUGUUGGUGUAACAGUCGUGUGUUUUAUUUAAUUUUAUGAAUAUCUUGUGCUAACUGGUUAGUAGGACUACAUUGUGAAUUAUUGUACCUGGUUACAAUUAUGGCAAGGAUAAGGAAAUUCAAUCCAAAACGGACUUUCAUAGGUAAUCAACAUACAAAGCAACAAAAUCUAAUAGUAGGUGUUCAGCAUCAACAUACACAUGUUCUGUGCAAAUAAGUCCAAAGAGGUCUUCUAGAGCACAAAAACUGAAUCAUUACAAACUUCCAAAAGAUUUUAAUGAAGAGACUGGUGUGAAUGUCAUAGUUGAAUUAGAACUUAUUUCUAGGGAGCGGCCCUGUCUACGUCCCUGGAGGACUUCAGCGGCUACCGUGGAAGCCUCCGCCUGGAAUGCCACCGGGGCCUGUCAGCCGACCUCAAGCACAGCUGUGGUCAAGUAGCACCGCGAGCUCAAGGUGAAGGACGUCCAACCAGGUUGCCAGUCGCUGAAGCGACCCACCGAGUUACGUCUCCGUCUGAUGUUCCGUGAUGGUUCGUUCUUUGAAUGUUUCUCGCAGUAGGGAAGAAUGAUAUAAAAUGUUUUCUAAUUUUAGGACAUACGUCAUUGCUGGUCACGCUGUGUGUCAUAUAGAAAAUCUCAGUAACUGAUCAAAAAAUAGAUUACUAUGCAAUCACUCAGCAAACAAGCCAAAGUCAGCCGAUGUUACAAAUUAAAUGUAUAGACAACACAGAGUAUUCUUUGGUAGGAAUAAAUAAAAUUAAAAAAGAACACAGCACAGGCAAAUACAGUGGCCUGACGAUAAGACAGUUUCAACAAGAACAGUAAAUAAAUAGACAAACCAAGCUCAGUCCCCACAGCAACAACAGACAAACCCAAUGAUGAUACUUAAAAAUUUAAUCUGGACACCAUAACAACGAUAACACAGACAAACGCAGUAGAUUUAUUCAUAUCAGUUGGGGUCGCUACUUCUCUUGUGUUGUCAUGUUGUAAGUCCCUAUUAGAUUUGAGCGGCAACUAUAACAUGAUAUAGUGGAGAAAUUAAGGUAAAGGUGUAAUGCAAGUCCCGUGAGUGCUUUCAAGAAUCUGUACCAGAUGUUGUAUGUCUAUAAGUUAUUCUGAAAACAGAACAUGUCAUUUACCUUCAACUUUUCUUGAGCAGAUUUUAAUUCACAUUUUUUUUGUGUAUUUUUUCACACUGUAUGUGUACCCCGGUAGGUGAGGGCCCUUAAUACCAACAGUUUAAAUAUCUCUAAACCUUGGAAAAGAAAUGUGCUUUGUAUCUUACAGUUAGGUACUCAAAAGUCGAGAAGUAACAGGGAGCUAUACAAUGUAAUUUCUUCCUUCACAUCUGUGUUCAACCUAUAGACGUAACAUAACACUCUGGUUAUGUUUUCAUGGUACUGAUGAUUGUAAUUUGUACAAACUGUACAUAAAAUCUUCCUUUUGGUUGGGAUUGCCAGAAGUUUACGAAUUCUCAAAAAAAAAAAACCAUGUGUAAGUAAUAGUACUCAAGGUCCUGUGAAACCCCAACAGUCAAGUCAGACUGGUUGUUACGUGUCAGUGCAUGGCUGUGUCACAAGCGUAGCACAGGUGCUGGCCAGCUGCUAUUUGGUGAUUUGACGUCUCAGUUCCCAGAAAAAUUAACAUUUAUCAAACAAAUAAAUCAAAUUCAGAAGUAAGAAAUUCACAGUUAUAAAUAUUAUUUAAAUAUACCUUUUAAAAAUUAUUUCACGAUUUUAUCAUAUCACUAUUCACUUUCUUAAGAUUUUUCUACUUCUGAAUUUAAUUUAUUGUUAUGAUGUGUUAAUUUUACUAUUAUGUGAACUUGAAUCAAUAAUUGAUAUUAAAUGAUAGAGUUUUUAUGAACAAAAAGACAAGACAAUAGAUCAUAUAUUUUAGAUUGAGUCCUUAUUAUAUAAAAAUUGUAGGUACUGAAAUAAGAGUGUAAUUUUUAUGAUAAUAGUUUAAGGUGCACAGUAAUUUUGUCUGUGUGAUCAAAACGUUCUUUAUUAAGAUCAUGUUCAUCCAAUGAAAUUGGGGAAUGUGUACUUCUUUGUUGAUACACCCCUUCUAGUGGCGGAUCCAGGGUUUAGUCGAAUAGAGGGUUGACAGUAUUUAAAACAUUUGCUAUUAACAAGCAAGAAACACUGAGUCAUAUCAACUUUUUACCCCCGUGAUGAAAAAAUUAACAAAUUUACUAUAAAUUAAAUGUUGCCAAUGAAAAUUUUCUUAUUCAUCACAAAACUGCAUUGAAAUAUUAAAUAAUGUUUAAAGAACUCCAUUAAUUUUUUUUUCUUCUAUAGUUUUGCGUGUUAUUUACAGUAGAACCUUGUUACAGGGACUUCACUUUAAAGUAUGUAUGUACAUAUUUUCAGAUUUCUACAUGUUCUGCAUUCAGUCCAGAACUCGUGGCGAGGUUUUGAUGGAAUGUUCUCGGUGGCCGUGGUCGUUGGUGGACAGGAUGUAUGAAACCCUGGCUUCAGGGAGGCAGGAGGCGAAGCAGCCCGGUCAGCAACGAGCAAGAACGUCUACCCUCUACCACCCGCCUACGCCAGUGACGUCACACUGCCCCGCCCGCUGAAGCCUUGACACCUUGACUCUGCCUGCCAGCAGUGGUGCUGAAGGACUCGCGGCAGGAGGUGUGGAGAAGUUCAACUGCAGCUGGCAGGACUUCCGGGAGUUCCGAGAGAGACACAUCUGCCCCCUGCAGCUUUCGACCGGCGGCGCAGUCCCGGGAGCAGCAGCCGGCCGCGUCACGGCACGGCUGCACGGAUCCUUCUUACCGCUCGCCUGCACCGUGUGGCUCCAGCCUCUACAAUGUCUGUCAUUGUAUUGUUUUUAAUAGGAAGCAUUAUCCUACUGGCUUAACACUUGGUAUCCUUUAAGUCCUUAUUAAAAUUUGUAAAUUUAUUAGUACAUGGAUAUAUAAGUACAGAAUUGCAAUGUUUGACAAGGUGCUGCAAAAUAUCUAGAUUGAAGCAAUAGCAUUGGGCGGAAGGCCGGAAAGUGUGAAAUGUGAGAGGUUAUGUUGUUGGUUGUGCAGUAAACAUGCGAUGUUUGGGGCAAUGAGGUUCAUAACCCUUCGGAUGAUUAAGGACAAUGUGCAAUUUUUGAUUCAAUGCAUUGCAGUCUUUUAAUAAUUGUAGAAAUGUGAAGAAAAAAAAGUUAAACAGUGCAGUUCAUUGUAAGUUUUUUGUCAGAGAAAAGCAGUUAUUUUUGGUAUUGAAUUCAAAUGUUAAUUAGCUAAACUGCAUUCAGGGUGGCUGAAGUGGUUGAGUGAACAGGAUCACAAUUCAGUGUAGAAAACUGGGUCACGAGUGAUUGCAAAUGAAACACUAGAUUUAGAACGUAAUGAACACAACUUGUGUAUUCAUGGAGGAGUAGAGCAUAUUAGUAGUGUGUUAGGAAGCAGUUAAAAUUCAUAAAGGCAAGAAAUGGUCUGUGGAGCUAGGUUUUAGAGGAAGAAAUGUUUACUUGAUAUCUCUUAGUUGGAAUUAUAUUUCUCAGCACAAACCCAGUUACAUAUAUGUGUAUAUACUAGCUGCAGUACCCAGCGUUGCCCGGGCUGAACACAGGGUGAAGGGGAACUGUUUAGAGAUCAGAUGUAGUUAGUAAUUGUCUUCUUAAUUUGAAUGUCAAGUGUGCAAAAUAAUUUAUAUCACUUUCAGAUCCCGACAGACGUUGUUCUGCCAGUUUAUAGUUAUUUACAUGGUCUGUAUGUAAUCUAGACUCUAUAAAGCAAUAUAGAAAAAAAACUGAAAAAUAAGGGAUUACUAAUAUUGAAAAGAUUCCAUUAUCUAGCUAAUGCUCGGCCCUCAUUCAGUUUUGUUUUGUAAUAUGUUUGAAGUAGUUACACAUAUAUAAAUAACUAUCCAUGUCUCUAAAUAUAUAUUUAUCUCUAUCUACAUCUAUAGUCAUAUAUAUCUAUGUAUCUCUCUAUCUGUAAUUAUCUAUAUUGUAUUGGUCCGAAAAUAGGCAGACCUUUUUUGCCAGUUUUGUCAACCUUGAAAUCUAGGGUCGGCCUAUAAUGGGGCACUAGCCAAAAUAGUAUAAUUAAACACAUACAUUUCAAGGAGAAUCACUUAUGGCAUAAAAAUGUUAUCAGAUAUACAAUUCAUUGACCUAAAAUUACACCUUACUUACGUGGAAUUAUUAAUUUUUACAACUUAGAAAUUUAGUAAACACACUUAACCCCAAUAACGUAUCAUAUUUUAAGUUAAGUACACAGAUGUGGUCACUUGUAGCACAUAGCUUUUGAAAGCUCGGUCUGGUUAUUUUUGAACUGUAUUUAACAGGCUGCAGUAAUUUUAUUUGCUUUUAAAAUGUGGUAUUUACAGUAAACAGUAAAAACAGCAAUUUUGCCAUACGGUUAUUUACCGUAGUAUGCUUUAUUUACUCUUCUACCACAGGAAAAACAAAAUGGCACCAGUGUUGGCAACUUGUAGUUGCGACAUGAAUAAACAAAUACCGGUACAUACCAACAGUAACAAGAACAAUAAAACCUAUUUGCAAUAUUGGCUGUUUUAUGGUUGAUUCAUAUAUGUUUUACAUGAAACCAUUUUGGGUUUUUUACGUCAAAAUUAAACGUAACGGUAAAUGUUUUUACAUCACAAUUAUUAUGAACUUAGAAAAUGUAGCCAUUGCCGUAUAAAAUGUUGGCACCACUACAAAAGAAUGUGAAGAUAAACGGAAAUAUGAACUCUCAAAUAUUUUUGUCAGUUCAAUAAAUACUAACUUAGUUGAAGUGUUACUGUGGUCAUAUGCUGCUGAUAAUCAUUUUGGGAUUUUUACGUCAAAAUUAAACGUAACAGUAAAUGUUUUUACGUCACAAUUUCUAUGAAUUUAGAAAAUGUAGACAUUGCCGUAUAAAAUGUUGGCACCACUACAAAAGAAUGUGAAGAUAAACGGAAAUAUGAACUCUCAAAUAUUUUUGUCAGUUCAAUAAAUACUAACUUAGUUGAAGUGUUACUGUGGUAAUAUGCUGCUGAUAAUCAUUUGUUAGUUAAAAUUUAUUUUUCCCUGAUUUUGAGUGUGCUGUAGAAGGGGUCGGCCUAUUUUCGAGGUCGGCCUAUCUUCGGACCAAUACGGUAUCUACAUAUAUACCUCACACUAUCUAUGUAUUCUAUAUGAGGGUACUGAUUGCUUCGUUGUUAAUAUCACAUGGGUGUUUUUUACUUGUAUGGGAAAAUUAAAAAUGAUAAGGCAUCUAGUGUGUGGCAACAAUAGGCAAUAGGAAAUAAACUCUAGCGCCUGCGGCAUUGUCAACACACACUCCGUACGUGUACAGUAUGUUGUAUCUAACCCCCUCCAAAGCAUUUGAUUCUAAAUUGGACUUUUAGUAAGGAUCCCUAAUCUUAUUGAUAAUAAAAUAUAGCCUAUAGCCUUCCUCGAUAAAUACUAUCCAACAGUGAAAGAAUUUUUCAAAUCGGACCAGUGGUUCCUGAGAUCAGCGCGUUCAAACAAACAAACAAACUCUUCAGCUUUAUAAUAUUAGUAUAGAUUAGAAGUUAGAAUUGUGAUAUUUCCAAGUGUAUUCAUGAUAUUGUCUUGUAAUUAUAAUUUUGUAGUACAUGCUAUGUUUACAUGAAUUUGUACCCUUGUAUUUCACCAACAUAUAUGUAGCUUGCAGCCUUUGUAUUGCUAGUUAUGUCUUAUGCCAAGGACUGCUUACAGGUGACACCCCCACAUUUACCAGUAUUGUUUGUGCGGGUAUUUUUUUUUUUAAAUUUCCUUAUCUGACUUGUACAAAUUAGUGCUACGGUUGUUUUAUCUCGUUCAGCCCUCUCCUUCUUUGAUGCUGAGUUAUAAGUAUGAGAAGACAGAGAGGAGACAUUAAUAUUGUACAUAACUGACAUAGCAAUAAGAUGUGUGCAUUAUUAAUAUUACAUUAAAAAUUUCUUUAUAAUGAUUUUGUGAGAGGAGUUGUUCGUUAGAUUAUGCAUUAAGAAUCGUGGUGCCACUUAGCAUUGUUUUUGGUUGUAUUAUAAGCAAAUACGUUGGGAAGGAGUAGGCUAAUAAGAAUUGUAAUACGAAAUUGUUAACACUUACCAUCUUAAAAUUUGGGAUGAAAAAAGCAGCUCUGUACAGAAACACAAAGCUGGUUAACAUAACUUUCUUGAACCACCAUUGUAAUUAAUGUACAGUAUUUUAUUUAGUACAGUGAGUGUUUUCCAUAAACUCAUAUACAUGUGAUGUGUUAUCCAGUGUGUUGUCUUGAUGUAAGUUGCUAUGCUAAUGCAUACCAUACCAUGUAAAUCUUGAUGUAAAGCUUAAUGAAAUGUGUAUACAUAUUUUCCAGAUGAUAUAUAUUUUAUUCCUGAAAGAGCAAAACCAUUUGACUGUGACACUUUGAAGUAACAUUUCCAUAAUAUUCUGUGCCAAAAAAUAUUUUCUAACUAGGCACAUACUAUAUGUAGUAUGUAGUUUGUCAUGACCAAAUAUCUCAAACUUAAUACAAUAAUUUUUUGGUCUAUGUUCAUGUUUGGCUUGGUUUGAAUUUUUUUGUAUGAGUAAUUGUGUUAAUUAUCAGUUUGGAGAGAAAUUUUUGUGUUAUUAAUAACUUUAAUUUUCAGAAAUAUACAUGUAUAUUUAUAAGUUUGUAAAAGGUGUAAAUUUUGUAAUUAAAAAUGAAGUAUUUUAUUUAGAA
Molecule: long non-coding RNA, 6752 nt
Organism: Bacillus rossius redtenbacheri
Lineage: Eukaryota; Metazoa; Arthropoda; Insecta; Phasmatodea; Bacillidae
Exons: 3
Source: RefSeq, a predicted model, not a curated record